CUGAUCGGAGGCCCCGCGCUUCACUUUCUUCCCGUUUUUUCCCCACCGGGGAGGCAAAACGGAAACCCGUAAGAGACACAAACCACCCACCCCACGCAAGGCCUUCCCUGAGGCGUCUAACAGCCGCGUGGGGCCGGCCCCGCUCCUCGCUCCCCACGGCACCGCCGCCCGCCGAGGGCAGGGCAACACGACCGCCCCGGUGCAACGGUCGCCACCACCAACCCCUCCCCACGUCGUUUAGUAGCUGCGUGAUGACGCAGCCAGCGGGAGUCCCGCGGCCCCCGCUCCUCCCCGCGCGAGCGGCUGCUCCCGCCCCCCGCCGCUCCCCGGCACGGCGGUGAGGGAGGGAGGAAAAGGGGGGGAAGGAGGCGGGGCGGCUGUGCCGUGGCAGCGGGUAAAGCGCGGCUCGGCAACACGCCGCCGUGCUGCCUGCUCCGGUGCCGUGCAUGGAGAGGGCGCGGGUGCUGAGGGGAAGCCGCCAGCUCGCGCUGCUUCGCCGAGCUCCCGCGGGAUACAUUAUGUUCUACCAUUGCCUGUGUGCCUGCUUUAUCUGACCUCCUGUGGAUACCAACAGCAAG
RNAcentral lists this long non-coding RNA (578 nucleotides) under Gallus gallus (chicken). Its description in RNAcentral is "long non-coding RNA NONGGAT011793". The record is from RNAcentral. Lineage: Eukaryota; Metazoa; Chordata; Aves; Galliformes; Phasianidae.